This 29-nucleotide non-coding RNA is filed under the name Mus musculus (house mouse). The record is from RNAcentral. Lineage: Eukaryota; Metazoa; Chordata; Mammalia; Rodentia; Muridae.
CCUGAGCACUAAGGGGCCGAUGCCACAGC